ACUCCUACGGGAGGCAGCAGUGGGGAAUAUUGCACAAUGGACGCAAGUCUGAUGCAGCAACGCCGCGUGAGGGACGAAGGCCUUCGGGUUGUAAACCUCUUUUAGCAGGGAAGAAGCGAAAGUGACGGUACCUGCAGAAAAAGCACCGGCUAACUACGUGCCAGCAGCCGCGGUAAUACGUAGGGUGCAAGCGUUGUCCGGAAUUAUUGGGCGUAAAGAGCUCGUAGGCGGUUUGUCGCGUCUGCUGUGAAAUUUCGAGGCUCAACCUCGAACUUGCAGUGGGUACGGGCAGGCUAGAGUGCAGUAGGGGAGAUGGGAAUUCCUGGUGUAGCGGUGGAAUGCGCAGAUAUCAGGAGGAACACCAAUGGCGAAGGCACAUCUCUGGGCUGUAACUGACGCUGAGGAGCGAAAGCGUGGGGAGCGAACAGGAUUAGAUACCCCAGUAGUCC
RNAcentral lists this ribosomal RNA (449 nucleotides) under uncultured bacterium. RNAcentral describes it as "bacterial SSU rRNA". It matches the Rfam family "Bacterial small subunit ribosomal RNA", at positions 335 to 796 of the family's 1533-position model. The record is from RNAcentral.